GGGUUGUGAGGUUAAGCGACUAAGCGUACACGGUGGAUGCCCUGGCAGUCAGAGGCGAUGAAGGACGUGCUAAUCUGCGAUAAGCGUCGGUAAGGUGAUAUGAACCGUUAUAACCGGCGAUUUCCGAAUGGGGAAACCCAGUGUGAUUCGUCACACUAUCAUUAACUGAAUCCAUAGGUUAAUGAGGCGAACCGGGGGAACUGAAACAUCUAAGUACCCCGAGGAAAAGAAAUCAACCGAGAUUCCCCCAGUAGCGGCGAGCGAACGGGGAGCAGCCCAGAGUCUGAAUCAGUGUGUGUGUUAGUGGAAGCGUCUGGAAAGGCGCGCGAUACAGGGUGACAGCCCCGUACACAAAAAUGCACAUAUUGUGAGCUCGAUGAGUAGGGCGGGACACGUGGUAUCCUGUCUGAAUAUGGGGGGACCAUCCUCCAAGGCUAAAUACUCCUGACUGACCGAUAGUGAACCAGUACCGUGAGGGAAAGGCGAAAAGAACCCCGGCGAGGGGAGUGAAAAAGAACCUGAAACCGUGUACGUACAAGCAGUGGGAGCACGCUUAGGCGUGUGACUGCGUACCUUUUGUAUAAUGGGUCAGCGACUUAUAUUCUGUAGCAAGGUUAACCGAAUAGGGGAGCCGAAGGGAAACCGAGUCUUAACUGGGCGUUAAGUUGCAGGGUAUAGACCCGAAACCCGGUGAUCUAGCCAUGGGCAGGUUGAAGGUUGGGUAACACUAACUGGAGGACCGAACCGACUAAUGUUGAAAAAUUAGCGGAUGACUUGUGGCUGGGGGUGAAAGGCCAAUCAAACCGGGAGAUAGCUGGUUCUCCCCGAAAGCUAUUUAGGUAGCGCCUCGUGAAUUCAUCUCCGGGGGUAGAGCACUGUUUCGGCAAGGGGGUCAUCCCGACUUACCAACCCGAUGCAAACUGCGAAUACCGGAGAAUGUUAUCACGGGAGACACACGGCGGGUGCUAACGUCCGUCGUGAAGAGGGAAACAACCCAGACCGCCAGCUAAGGUCCCAAAGUCAUGGUUAAGUGGGAAACGAUGUGGGAAGGCCCAGACAGCCAGGAUGUUGGCUUAGAAGCAGCCAUCAUUUAAAGAAAGCGUAAUAGCUCACUGGUCGAGUCGGCCUGCGCGGAAGAUGUAACGGGGCUAAACCAUGCACCGAAGCUGCGGCAGCGACACUAUGUGUUGUUGGGUAGGGGAGCGUUCUGUAAGCCUGUGAAGGUGUGCUGUGAGGCAUGCUGGAGGUAUCAGAAGUGCGAAUGCUGACAUAAGUAACGAUAAAGCGGGUGAAAAGCCCGCUCGCCGGAAGACCAAGGGUUCCUGUCCAACGUUAAUCGGGGCAGGGUGAGUCGACCCCUAAGGCGAGGCCGAAAGGCGUAGUCGAUGGGAAACAGGUUAAUAUUCCUGUACUUGGUGUUACUGCGAAGGGGGGACGGAGAAGGCUAUGUUGGCCGGGCGACGGUUGUCCCGGUUUAAGCGUGUAGGCUGGUUUUCCAGGCAAAUCCGGAAAAUCAAGGCUGAGGCGUGAUGACGAGGCACUACGGUGCUGAAGCAACAAAUGCCCUGCUUCCAGGAAAAGCCUCUAAGCAUCAGGUAACAUCAAAUCGUACCCCAAACCGACACAGGUGGUCAGGUAGAGAAUACCAAGGCGCUUGAGAGAACUCGGGUGAAGGAACUAGGCAAAAUGGUGCCGUAACUUCGGGAGAAGGCACGCUGAUAUGUAGGUGAAGCGACUUGCUCGUGGAGCUGAAAUCAGUCGAAGAUACCAGCUGGCUGCAACUGUUUAUUAAAAACACAGCACUGUGCAAACACGAAAGUGGACGUAUACGGUGUGACGCCUGCCCGGUGCCGGAAGGUUAAUUGAUGGGGUUAGCGCAAGCGAAGCUCUUGAUCGAAGCCCCGGUAAACGGCGGCCGUAACUAUAACGGUCCUAAGGUAGCGAAAUUCCUUGUCGGGUAAGUUCCGACCUGCACGAAUGGCGUAAUGAUGGCCAGGCUGUCUCCACCCGAGACUCAGUGAAAUUGAACUCGCUGUGAAGAUGCAGUGUACCCGCGGCAAGACGGAAAGACCCCGUGAACCUUUACUAUAGCUUGACACUGAACAUUGAGCCUUGAUGUGUAGGAUAGGUGGGAGGCUUUGAAGUGUGGACGCCAGUCUGCAUGGAGCCGACCUUGAAAUACCACCCUUUAAUGUUUGAUGUUCUAACGUGGACCCGUAAUCCGGGUUGCGGACAGUGUCUGGUGGGUAGUUUGACUGGGGCGGUCUCCUCCUAAAGAGUAACGGAGGAGCACGAAGGUUGGCUAAUCCUGGUCGGACAUCAGGAGGUUAGUGCAAUGGCAUAAGCCAGCUUGACUGCGAGCGUGACGGCGCGAGCAGGUGCGAAAGCAGGUCAUAGUGAUCCGGUGGUUCUGAAUGGAAGGGCCAUCGCUCAACGGAUAAAAGGUACUCCGGGGAUAACAGGCUGAUACCGCCCAAGAGUUCAUAUCGACGGCGGUGUUUGGCACCUCGAUGUCGGCUCAUCACAUCCUGGGGCUGAAGUAGGUCCCAAGGGUAUGGCUGUUCGCCAUUUAAAGUGGUACGCGAGCUGGGUUUAGAACGUCGUGAGACAGUUCGGUCCCUAUCUGCCGUGGGCGCUGGAGAACUGAGGGGGGCUGCUCCUAGUACGAGAGGACCGGAGUGGACGCAUCACUGGUGUUCGGGUUGUCAUGCCAAUGGCACUGCCCGGUAGCUAAAUGCGGAAGAGAUAAGUGCUGAAAGCAUCUAAGCACGAAACUUGCCCCGAGAUGAGUUCUCCCUGACUCCUUGAGAGUCCUGAAGGAACGUUGAAGACGACGACGUUGAUAGGCCGGGUGUGUAAGCGCAGCGAUGCGUUGAGCUAACCGGUACUAAUGAACCGUGAGGCUUAACCUUACAACGCCGAAGGUGUUU
This 2930-nucleotide ribosomal RNA is filed under the name Escherichia coli. RNAcentral describes it as "23S ribosomal RNA". It matches the Rfam family "Bacterial large subunit ribosomal RNA". Lineage: Bacteria; Pseudomonadati; Pseudomonadota; Gammaproteobacteria; Enterobacterales; Enterobacteriaceae. The record is from RNAcentral.